RNAcentral lists this ribosomal RNA (261 nucleotides) under uncultured archaeon. Its description in RNAcentral is "partial 16S ribosomal RNA". It matches the Rfam family "Archaeal small subunit ribosomal RNA", at positions 748 to 1009 of the family's 1478-position model. The record is from RNAcentral.
CAGCCGUAAACUAUGCGCGUUAGGUGUAUCGGUGACCACGAGUCACCGAGGUGCCGAAGGGAAACCGUGAAACGUGCCGCCUGGGAAGUACGGCCGCAAGGCUGGAACUUAAAGGAAUUGGCGGGGGAGCACCACAACGGGUGGAGCCUGCGGUUUAAUUGGACUCAACGCCGGGAAGCUCACCGGAUAAGACAGCGGAAUGAUUGCCGGGCUGAAGACUCUGCAUGACUAGCUGAGAGGAGGUGCAUGGCGUAGACGUCU